This 506-nucleotide ribosomal RNA is filed under the name uncultured bacterium. RNAcentral describes it as "partial 16S ribosomal RNA". It matches the Rfam family "Bacterial small subunit ribosomal RNA", at positions 30 to 523 of the family's 1533-position model. The record is from RNAcentral.
AUUGAACGCUGGCGGCAGGCCUAACACAUGCAAGUCGAACGGUAACAGGAAACAGCUUGCUGCUUCGCUGACGAGUGGCGGACGGGUGAGUAAUGUCUGGGAAACUGCCUGAUGGAGGGGGAUAACCACUGGAAACGGUAGCUAAUACCGCAUAACGUCGCAAGACUAAAGAGGGGGACCUUCGGGACUCUUGCCAUCGGAUGUGCCCAGUGGGGAUUAGCUAGUAGGAGGGGUAACGGCUCACCUAGGCGACGAUCAUUAGCUGGUCUGAUAGAGUGACCAGCCACACGGGAACGGAUACAAGGUCCAGACUCCUACGCGAGGCAGCAUCAGGGAAUAUUGCACAAGGGGCGCAAGCCUGAUGCAGCCAUGCCGCGUGUAUGAAGAAGGCCUUCGGGUUGUAAAGUACUUUCAGCGGGGAGGAAGGGAGUAAAGUCAAUACCUUUGCUCAUUGACGUUACCCGCAGAAGAAGCACCGGCUAACUCCGUGCCAGCCGCCGCCGUAA